This 353-nucleotide ribosomal RNA is filed under the name uncultured Rhodocyclaceae bacterium. RNAcentral describes it as "bacterial SSU rRNA". It matches the Rfam family "Bacterial small subunit ribosomal RNA", at positions 1034 to 1382 of the family's 1533-position model. Lineage: Bacteria; Pseudomonadati; Pseudomonadota; Betaproteobacteria; Rhodocyclales; Rhodocyclaceae. The record is from RNAcentral.
ACAGGUGCUGCAUGGCUGUCGUCAGCUCGUGUCGUGAGUAUGUUUGGGUUAAGUCCCGCAACGAGCCGCAACCCUUUGUUCAUUUAGUUGCCUAUCAUUUGGUUGGGCACUCUAAUGAGACUGCCGGUGACAACCGGAGGAAGGUGGGGAUGACGUCAAGUCCUCAUGGCCCUUAUGGGUAGGGCUUCACACGUCAUACAAUGGUCGGUACAGAGGGUUGCCAACCCGCGAGGGGGAGCUAAUCCCACAAAGCCGAUCGUAGUUCGGAUCGCAGUCUGCAACUCGACUGCGUGAAGUCGGAAUCGCUAGUAAUCGUGGAUCAGAAUGUCACGGUGAAUACGUUCCCGGGUCUU